This 509-nucleotide ribosomal RNA is filed under the name uncultured bacterium. RNAcentral's name for it is "bacterial SSU rRNA". It matches the Rfam family "Bacterial small subunit ribosomal RNA", at positions 9 to 518 of the family's 1533-position model. The record is from RNAcentral.
GAGUUUGAUCCUGGCUCAGGAUGAACGCUGGCGGCGUGCUUAACACAUGCAAGUCGAACGGAGUUUUUAAACGGAGGUUUCGGAUGGAAGUUUAGAAACUUAGUGGCGGACGGGUGAGUAACGCGUGGGUAACCUGCCUCAUACAGGGGGAUAACAGUUAGAAAUGACUGCUAACACCGCAUAAUAUAGCGAAACCGCAUGAUUUUUGCUAUCAAAUAUUUAUAGGUAUGAGAUGGGCCCGCGUCUGAUUAGCUAGUUGGUGGGGUAAAAGCCUACCAAGGCGACGAUCAGUAGCCGGCUUGAGAGAGUGACCGGCCACAUUGGGACUGAGACACGGCCCAAACUCCUACGGGAGGCAGCAGUGGGGAAUAUUGGACAAUGGGGGAAACCCUGAUCCAGCCGACGCCGCGUGAGUGAAGAAGUAUUUCGGUAUGUAAAGCUCUAUCAGCAGGGAAGAUAAUGACAGUACCUGACUAAGAAGCCCCGGCUAACUACGUGCCAGCCGCGGC